AUUGAACGCUGGCGGCAUGCCUUACACAUGCAAGUCGAACGGCAGCAUGAUCUAGCUUGCUAGAUUGAUGGCGAGUGGCGAACGGGUGAGUAAUACAUCGGAACGUGCCCUGUAGUGGGGGAUAACUAGUCAAAAGAUUAGCUAAUACCGCAUACGACCUGAGGGUGAAAGUGGGGGACCGCAAGGCCUCAUGCUAUAGGAGCGGCCGAUGUCUGAUUAGCUAGUUGGUGGGGUAAAGGCCCACCAAGGCGACGAUCAGUAGCUGGUCUGAGAGGACGAUCAGCCACACUGGGACUGAGACACGGCCCAGACUCCUACGGGAGGCAGCAGUGGGGAAUUUUGGACAAUGGGGGCAACCCUGAUCCAGCAAUGCCGCGUGUGUGAAGAAGGCCUUCGGGUUGUAAAGCACUUUUGUCCGGAAAGAAAUCGCACUUACUAAUAUUAGGUGUGGAUGACGGUACCGGAAGAAUAAGGACCGGCUAACUACGUGCCAGCAGCCGCGGUAAUACGUAGGGUCCAAGCGUUAAUCGGAAUUACUGGGCGUAAAGCGUGCGCAGGCGGUUGUGCAAGACCGAUGUGAAAUCCCCGGGCUUAACCUGGGAAUUGCAUUGGUGACUGCACGGCUAGAGUGUGUCAGAGGGGGGUAGAAUUCCACGUGUAGCAGUGAAAUGCGUAGAGAUGUGGAGGAAUACCGAUGGCGAAGGCAGCCCCCUGGGAUAACACUGACGCUCAUGCACGAAAGCGUGGGGAGCAAACAGGAUUAGAUACCCUGGUAGUCCACGCCCUAAACAAUGGUCACUAGGUUGUUGGGAAUCCAUUCCUUAGUAACGUAGCUAACGCGUGAAAUUGACCCCCUGGGGAGUACGGUCGCAAGAUUAAAACUCAAAGGAAUUGACGGGGACCCGCACAAGCGGUGGAUGAUGUGGAUUAAUUCGAUGCAACGCGAAAAACCUUACCUACCCUUGACAUGCCACUAACGAAGCAGAGAUGCAUUAGGUGCUCGAAAGCGAAAGUGGACACAGGUGCUGCAUGGCUGUCGUCAGCUCGUGUCGUGAGAUGUUGGGUUAAGUCCCGCAACGAGCGCAACCCUUGUCUCUAGUUGCUACGAAAGGGCACUCUAGAGAGACUGCCGGUGACAAACCGGAGGAAGGUGGGGAUGACGUCAAGUCCUCAUGGCCCUUAUGGGUAGGGCUUCACACGUCAUACAAUGGUGCAUACAGAGGGUUGCCAAGCCGCGAGGUGGAGCUAAUCCCAGAAAAUGCAUCGUAGUCCGGAUCGUAGUCUGCAACUCGACUACGUGAAGCUGGAAUCGCUAGUAAUCGCGGAUCAGCAUGCCCCCCUGAAGGCNUUCCCNNUUCU
This 1359-nucleotide ribosomal RNA is filed under the name uncultured bacterium. Its description in RNAcentral is "bacterial SSU rRNA". It matches the Rfam family "Bacterial small subunit ribosomal RNA", at positions 28 to 1381 of the family's 1533-position model. The record is from RNAcentral.